Molecule: ribosomal RNA, 430 nt
Filed under: uncultured bacterium
Lineage: Bacteria
Description: partial 16S ribosomal RNA
Rfam family: Bacterial small subunit ribosomal RNA
Source: RNAcentral
GUGGGGAAUAUUGCACAAUGGGCGAAAGCCUGAUGCAGCAACGCCGCGUGAGGGACGACGGCCUUCGGGUUGUAAACCUCUUUUAGUAGGGAAGAAGCGAAAGUGACGGUACCUGCAGAAAAAGCACCGGCUAACUACGUGCCAGCAGCCACGGUAAUACGUAGGGUGCAAGCGUUAUCCGGAAUUAUUGGGCGUAAAGAGCUCGUAGGCGGUCUGUCGCGUCUGCUGUGAAAACUGGAGGCUCAACCUCCAGCCUGCAGUGGGUACGGGCAGACUAGAGUGCGGUAGGGGAGAUUGGAAUUCCUGGUGUAGCGGUGGAAUGCGCAGAUAUCAGGAGGAACACCGAUGGCGAAGGCAGAUCUCUGGGCCGUAACUGACGCUGAGGAGCGAAAGCGUGGGGAGCGAACAGGAUUAGAUACCCCAGUAGUCC